RNAcentral lists this ribosomal RNA (460 nucleotides) under uncultured bacterium. RNAcentral's name for it is "partial 16S ribosomal RNA". It matches the Rfam family "Bacterial small subunit ribosomal RNA", at positions 338 to 795 of the family's 1533-position model. The record is from RNAcentral.
CCUACGGGAGGCAGCAGUGAGGAAUAUUGGUCAAUGGACGCAAGUCUGAACCAGCCAUGCCGCGUGCAGGAAGACGGCUCUAUGAGUUGUAAACUGCUUUUGUACGAGGGUAAACGCAGAUACGCGUAUCUGUCUGAAAGUAUCGUACGAAUAAGGAUCGGCUAACUCCGUGCCAGCAGCCGCGGUAAUACGGAGGAUUCAAGCGUUAUCCGGAUUUAUUGGGUUUAAAGGGUGCGUAGGCGGUCGGAUAAGUUAGAGGUGAAAUCCCGAGGCUCAACUUCGGAAUUGCCUUUGAUACUGGUCGUCUAGAGAGUAGUUGCGGUAGGCGGAAUGUAUGGUGUAGCGGUGAAAUGCUUAGAGAUCAUGCAGAACACCGAUUGCGAAGGCAGCUUACCAGGCUACUUCUGACGUUGAGGCACGAAAGCGUGGGGAGCAAACAGGAUUAGAUACCCCUGUAGUC